CACUCAUGCUACUAGCCAUUUUUUAUAUGCUAUAGUUGGUUUUUCUUUUUCUUUUUUUUUUAAUGAUUUUAUUCAUGGACAGAGCUCGUAGAGAUACAUGAUGCCUUGAAGACACAUCAAACUGCAUAAUGAAGACAGAGGAGAGAUGGAACAAAUCAUCUAUUACUUGAGAUAAGAAACAUGAAGAUCAAUAGGACUUCUAGGAACUGAAGCAGUGUGUUGCACUAAACAUCCACCAGGGGGCGCCAGAGUGAGAGUCCGAGGG
Molecule: long non-coding RNA, 265 nt
Organism: Pangasianodon hypophthalmus (striped catfish)
Lineage: Eukaryota; Metazoa; Chordata; Actinopteri; Siluriformes; Pangasiidae
Exons: 3
Source: RefSeq, a predicted model, not a curated record